Molecule: long non-coding RNA, 531 nt
Filed under: Homo sapiens (human)
Lineage: Eukaryota; Metazoa; Chordata; Mammalia; Primates; Hominidae
Description: non-protein coding lnc-LMBRD1-3:2
Source: RNAcentral
GUAUUUUUGUUUCAUAAAUGAAGUAAAGGAGGUAAAUAAACCUGAGUAAAUGGCAGAACCAAGACCCACCAGUCUUAGCUAUUACAACAUUGUAAUUGCUAUGUUGCAUUUUUUUCCAAAGCAGAGACAAAAAACACUGAAUUAUUGAACCCUGUGAUAAACAAUGCAGUUAGCAGGAAGUUAGGAGUAUGAUACAACUUAUCAAGAAGAAAUAAUCACAACAGGCAGAUCUUCUGUUAAUCUUUACUUUUGAGUAAGACUAUAGUAAGGUAUUUCUUUAUAAAUAUUUGCAUCAUACUUAUGUAACCAUCCUGUAGACAAUUAAUAAAUAAAAUGAAAGUUUUCUACUUAGUGGUUUGCCUAAGGAUGUUAUGAUAGUUCUAACAUCAUUGUCUUGCUCUAUUAGGGAUUAACAGGACCUGAUGGAUCCCCUGGCUCCAUUGGGUCAAAGGGACAAAAAGGAGAACCUGGUGUGCCUGGAUCGCGUGGAUUUCCAGUAAGUAAAUGUAAAGCUACAGAAUUGAAAAUUUC